UACGUAGGGCGCAAGCGUUAUCCGGAAUUAUUGGGCGCAAAGAGCUCGUAGGCGGUUUGUCGCGUCUGCCGUGAAAGUCCGGGGCUCAACUCCGGAUCUGCGGUGGGUACGGGCAGACUAGAGUGAUGUAGGGGAGACUGGAAUUCCUGGUGUAGCGGUGAAAUGCGCAGAUAUCAGGAGGAACACCAGUGGCGAAGGCGCCGCUCUGGGCCGUGACUGACGCUGAGGAGCGAAAGCGUGGGUAGCAAACAGG
Molecule: ribosomal RNA, 253 nt
Filed under: uncultured bacterium
Lineage: Bacteria
Description: partial 16S ribosomal RNA
Rfam family: Bacterial small subunit ribosomal RNA
Source: RNAcentral